CAGAUAACAACUACCUACCUAUUUUCAACUGUCUAUCGUGCCUUGAACGAUAUAAGAUUAUUUUAUUUUACUUUUCAUCCCGAGCGAAUGGUACCUAGGUAUAUUUAUUUAAAUGCAUCGUUUUAGAAAUAGAAUCAUGGUUAGUAAUACGCAAUUCGUCAUUAUCUGCACUAUUUUAUUCCUCGAUAUCAGCAACGCUUUUAUAUUCCCGUUUCAUUUUCAACCGCCACCAUACAGACGAGGAAGAAUACCGCCAGGAGGACUAAAACAGAAUCUACUGCCAUUCUUUUGGCCUAUUUGGCCCGAACCGAGACGAAAUAAAGCCCCUAGAUUUACAUUACCUAUAGAUAAGUACCGAUUGGAGGAAAAAUUACGAAGGGAAGUGCGAAGGGAAGUGCUUAAAAAUUCCGAAAAAGUAUGAAACACAUGAUGAAAUACAGGCAACAUUUUCUAAAGUAUUAUACAACUAAGAAGCGUCAAAAAUGUUGAAAAAAAUUGAAAAAUAUCGCAAUCGUGUUGAUCGGUAAUGGUAUGCAAAAAUACUUACAAUUAAUAUAAGUUACCAUUACCGUUAAUUUACCAACGAAAUAGAUACUGGUAUAUUACUGAAAAUUAAAGUAUUACCUACAAAUAAGUAAUUUAUAAAUAUAUUUUUCCAAAAAAAAUUGAAUUUUCUCGAAAUGUUCAGAACUUUUCAAAUCGAGAAUCCAAAAAAAACGCCACCUCAUGUUGAUAUGCAGUUAUUCUUGUAAUCAUUUUUUCGAGAAUUUUUGAGCAAGGACGCGAUGGAGAAAAUAUCAUUCUAGAUUAGUAGUACCUAAGUAGGCAUAUUUGUAAAUAAUUUGGAAACAUCUCUGACACAUCAAACAACAUUGUUUCAUCUCCAUAUCAGCAUAAUUAUUUUAAUCGCUAAACCAAACUCAAAACAUUUAUCUUCAUCAGUGAUCAGAUAGGUUACCCAAAAGUUUCAUGCUCUCGUAAAAUUAAGUUUAUUUUCGUUUUCGUUUUGAGCACUGUAAGUGUAAGUAGACGUAAGUACGAAUCGUUUUAAAACCAUGGUUACACGAUUAUUCAUCAACAUCAUCUACCUCUUUAGUAUUUUAUCCCUCGAUUUGAGCGACGCCAGGUUGGGGAUUCGUUAUAUUCCGGUAAGUCAAUCAGUAUACUGAUCAGAAAUUCAUUCGUAAUUGCAAAAUUAUACGUACGAGCAUCGGUCUCUUAAAAUAAGUUAUAUUUUGUAAAUUUGAACAGCCAUGAGCCAGAGGAAAACCACCGUCAGGAACGGCAGAUCCCCUCUUAUUGCCAUUCAUGUUAUUGCCUACAUUCAGAAAACCAGAGGUGAAGGUGAAGCAAAAUGAAUGCGCAUGUUUGUGUAAAUUACCUCACGAAAAUUAGAUUAAUUCUAAAUAUAAGAACAUUAUUAUGUAGCAAGUUGUUGUUUUCCUGUUAUUCAAUAUACCUCAAACGACUGAAAAAUUA
Long non-coding RNA from Planococcus citri (citrus mealybug), 1479 nucleotides. RefSeq lists it as uncharacterized. The record is from RefSeq and is a predicted model, not a curated record. The transcript has 2 exons. Lineage: Eukaryota; Metazoa; Arthropoda; Insecta; Hemiptera; Pseudococcidae.